This 347-nucleotide ribosomal RNA is filed under the name Methylobacterium sp. RNAcentral's name for it is "bacterial SSU rRNA". It matches the Rfam family "Bacterial small subunit ribosomal RNA", at positions 920 to 1267 of the family's 1533-position model. The record is from RNAcentral. Lineage: Bacteria; Pseudomonadati; Pseudomonadota; Alphaproteobacteria; Hyphomicrobiales; Methylobacteriaceae.
CCCGCACAAGCGGUGGAGCAUGUGGUUUAAUUCGUAGCAAGCCGCAGAACCUUACCAUCCUUUGACAUGGCGUGUUACCCAGAGAGAUUUGGGGUCCACUUCGGUGGCGCGCACACAGGUGCUGCAUGGCUGUCGUCAGCUCGUGUCGUGAGAUGUUGGGUUAAGUCCCGCAACGAGCGCAACCCACGUCCUUAGUUGCCAUCAUUCAGUUGGGCACUCUAGGGAGACUGCCGGUGAUAAGCCGCGAGGAAGGUGUGGAUGACGUCAAGUCCUCAUGGCCCUUACGGGAUGGGCUACACACGUGCUACAAUGGCGGUGACAGUGGGACGCGAAGGAGCGAUCUGGAG